CCCGCACAAGCGGUGGAGUAUGUGGUUAAUUCGACGCAACGCGAAGAACCUUACCAGGGCUUGACAUCCCCUGACCGCGUAUGAAAGUACGUUUUCACCCUCGGGUGACAGGGAGACAGGUGGUGCAUGGUUGUCGUCAGCUCGUGUCGUGAGAUGUUGGGUUAAGUCCCGCAACGAGCGCAACCCCUACGUUUAGUUGCUAACGCGUGAAGGCGAGCACUCUAGACGAACUGCCGUUGACAAAACGGAGGAAGGUGGGAUGACGUCAAAUCAUCAUGCCCCUUAUGUUCUGGGCUACACACGUGCUACAAUGGCCGGUACAGACGGACGCAAAGCCGCGAGGUGGAGCAAAUCCUAAAAAGCCGGUCUCAGUUCGGAUUGCAGGCUGCAAUUCGCCUGCAUGAAGUCGGAAUCGCUAGUAAUCGCAGGUCAGCAUACUGCGGUGAAUACGUUCCCGGGCCUU
Molecule: ribosomal RNA, 463 nt
Filed under: uncultured Pelotomaculum sp.
Lineage: Bacteria; Bacillati; Bacillota; Clostridia; Eubacteriales; Desulfotomaculaceae
Description: bacterial SSU rRNA
Rfam family: Bacterial small subunit ribosomal RNA
Source: RNAcentral